AGCGAACGCUGGCGGCAGGCCUAACACAUGCAAGUCGAACGAACCUUUCGGGGUUAGUGGCGGACGGGUGAGUAACACGUGGGAACGUGCCUUUAGGUUCGGAAUAACUCAGGGAAACUUUUGCUAAUACCGAAUGUGCCCUUCGGGGGAAAGAUUAAUCGCCUUUAGAGCGGCCCGCGUCUGAUUAGCUAGUUGGUUGAGGUAAUGGCUCACCAAGGCGACGAUCAGUAGCUGGUCUGAGAGGAUGAUCAGCCACAUUGGGACUGAGACACGGCCCAAACUCCUACGGGAGGCAGCAGUGGGGAAUCUUGCGCAAUGGGCGAAAGCCUGACGCAGCCAUGCCGCGUGAAUGAUGAAGGUCUUAGGAUCGUAAAAUUCUUUCACCGGGGACGAUAAUGACGGUACCCGGAGAAGAAGCCCCGGCUAACUUCGUG
Molecule: ribosomal RNA, 434 nt
Filed under: uncultured bacterium
Lineage: Bacteria
Description: partial 16S ribosomal RNA
Rfam family: Bacterial small subunit ribosomal RNA
Source: RNAcentral